Molecule: ribosomal RNA, 376 nt
Filed under: uncultured eukaryote
Lineage: Eukaryota
Description: partial 18S ribosomal RNA
Rfam family: Eukaryotic small subunit ribosomal RNA
Source: RNAcentral
CAAGAGCGUAUAUUAAAGUUGCUGCGGUUAAAAAGCUCGUAGUUGGAUUUCAGUCUAGGAAGGUUAACUCGCCGAAAGGUUGUACGUUGAUUUUCUUCAGACUUCGUCAGAAGCUCGUGCUGCACUUAACUGUGUGGUACGAUGUUCUGACCUUUUACCUUGAGGAAAGUAGAGUGUUUCAGGCAGGCUACCCAGCUUGAAUACAUUAGCAUGGAAUAAUGAAAUGGAUCUCGGUUCGAUUUCGUUGGUUCUAGAGCUGAGGUGAUGAUCAAUAGGAACAGGCGAAGGUAUUCGUACUUGAGAGUGAGGAGUGAAAUCCGAUGAUCUCUUAAAGACGAUCCGAGGCGAAAGCAUUUGUCAAGGAUGUUUUCAUUGA